Molecule: small RNA, 34 nt
Filed under: Bombyx mori (domestic silkworm)
Lineage: Eukaryota; Metazoa; Arthropoda; Insecta; Lepidoptera; Bombycidae
Description: ovarian small RNA-10205
Source: RNAcentral
AACAAUGUGCUAUUGUUUUUUGUAGGUUGUGAGU